Xenia sp. Carnegie-2017 is the source of this 221-nucleotide long non-coding RNA. RefSeq lists it as uncharacterized. Lineage: Eukaryota; Metazoa; Cnidaria; Anthozoa; Malacalcyonacea; Xeniidae. The record is from RefSeq and is a predicted model, not a curated record. The transcript is spliced from 3 exons.
GCUGGUUAUGCUGCGCUGGGUAGGCACAUGUGUUGUAAUGAGGCGAGUGCUGCACAUUUGGCAUGUGCGCAUGCGUCAUAGAUCCCAAGAUAUCAAGUAACUGUUACAUCAUUGCAAUGUAGCGUUGCAUUCCUACGUAGAUGGUAAAGUCAUUUGCGUUGUAAUCGGGAAAUGGAAGAUGCCUUAUUGGUGGUCGCCAGCAAGAGUAAGCCUGCAUUAAC